GGCCUUGUAGUCAAGAUAUGAUAUUGAAUUGCAAAUUCAAAGGGGAUUUUCUAUUAUCCAAGGCUU
This 66-nucleotide transfer RNA is filed under the name Erotides cosnardi. RNAcentral's name for it is "tRNA-Cys". The record is from RNAcentral. Lineage: Eukaryota; Metazoa; Arthropoda; Insecta; Coleoptera; Lycidae.